This 497-nucleotide ribosomal RNA is filed under the name uncultured bacterium. RNAcentral's name for it is "partial 16S ribosomal RNA". It matches the Rfam family "Bacterial small subunit ribosomal RNA", at positions 28 to 507 of the family's 1533-position model. The record is from RNAcentral.
GAUGAACGCUGGCGGCGUGCCUAAUACAUGCAAGUCGAGCGAUCAGACGAGGAGCUUUCUCCUCUGACGUUAGCGGCGAACGGGUGAGUAACACUUGGAUAACCUACCUAUAAGACUGGGUUAACUUCGGGAAACCGGAGCUAUUACCGGAUAAUAUAUUGAACCGCAUGGUUCAAUAGUGAAAGACGGUUUUGCUGUCACUUAUAGAUGGAUCCGCGCCGCAUUAGCUAGUUGGUAAGGUAACGGCUUACCAAGGCAACGAUGCGUAGCCGACCUGAGAGGGGGAUCGGCCACAAUGGAACUGAGAAGAGGUCCAGACUCCUACGGGAGGCAGAAGUAGGGAAGCGUCCGCAAUGGGCGAAAGACUGACGGAGCAACGCCGCGGGAUUGAUGAAGGUCUUCGGAUCGUAAAACUCUGUUAUUAGGGAAGAACAAAUGUGUAAGUAACUAUGCACGUCUUGACGGAACCUAAUCAGAAAGCCACGGCUAACUACGUG